CCAACGGGAGGCUGCAGUGGGGAAUAUUGGACAAUGGGCGAAAGCCUGAUCCAGCCAUGCCGCGUGAGUGAUGAAGGCCUUAGGGUUGUAAAGCUCUUUCGCCGACGAAGAUAAUGACGGUAGUCGGAGAAGAAGCCCCGGCUAACUUCGUGCCAGCAGCCGCGGUAAUACGAAGGGGGCUAGCGUUGCUCGGAAUCACUGGGCGUAAAGCGCACGUAGGCGGAUUGUUAAGUCAGGGGUGAAAGCCUGGAGCUCAACUCCAGAACUGCCCUUGAUACUGGCAAUCUCGAGUCCGGAAGAGGUAAGUGGAACUCCGAGUGUAGAGGUGAAAUUCGUAGAUAUUCGGAAGAACACCAGUGGCGAAGGCGGCUUACUGGUCCGGUACUGACGCUGAGGUGCGAAAGCGUGGGGAGCAAACA
This 419-nucleotide ribosomal RNA is filed under the name uncultured prokaryote. Its description in RNAcentral is "bacterial SSU rRNA". It matches the Rfam family "Bacterial small subunit ribosomal RNA", at positions 338 to 774 of the family's 1533-position model. The record is from RNAcentral.